GAUGAACGCUGGCGGCGUGCCUAAUACAUGCAAGUCGAGCGAACGGACGAGAAGCUUGCUUCUCUGAUGUUAGCGGCGGACGGGUGAGUAACACGUGGAUAACCUACCUAUAAGACUGGGAUAACUUCGGGAAACCGGAGCUAAUACCGGAUGAUAUUUUGAACCGCAUGGUUCAAAAGUGAAAGACGGUCUUGCUGUCACUUAUAGAUGGAUCCGCGCUGCAUUAGCUAGUUGGUAAGGUAACGGCUUACCAAGGCAACGAUGCAUAGCCGACCUGAGAGGGUGAUCGGCCACACUGGAACUGAGACACGGUCCAGACUCCUACGGGAGGCAGCAGUAGGGAAUAUUCCGCAAUGGGCGAAAGCCUGACGGAGCAACGCCGCGUGAGUGAUGAAGGUCUUCGGAUCGUAAAACUCUGUUAGUAGGGAAGAACAUAUGUGUAAGUAACUGUGCACAUCUUGACGGUACCUAAUCAGAAAGCCACGGCUAACUACGUG
RNAcentral lists this ribosomal RNA (497 nucleotides) under uncultured bacterium. RNAcentral's name for it is "partial 16S ribosomal RNA". It matches the Rfam family "Bacterial small subunit ribosomal RNA", at positions 28 to 507 of the family's 1533-position model. The record is from RNAcentral.